UACGUAGGAUGCAAGCGUUGUUCGGAAUUACUGGGCGUAAAGAGUACGUAGGCGGUUUGAUAAGUCUGGUAUUAAAGACUGAGGCUUAACCUCAGGAAUGUAUUGGAAACUGUCAGACUAGAGGACAGUAGAGGAAGUCGGAAUUCUCAGUGUAGCGGUGAAAUGCGUAGAUAUUGGGAAAGAACACCAGUGGCGAAAGCGGACUUCUGGCCUGUUACUGACGCUGAGGUACGGAAAGCGAUGGGGAGCAAACGGGGGAAUUAAGAAACCCCGUAGACCCAGGUAC
RNAcentral lists this ribosomal RNA (286 nucleotides) under uncultured bacterium. Its description in RNAcentral is "partial 16S ribosomal RNA". It matches the Rfam family "Bacterial small subunit ribosomal RNA", at positions 524 to 802 of the family's 1533-position model. The record is from RNAcentral.